This 71-nucleotide transfer RNA is filed under the name Candidatus Staskawiczbacteria bacterium. Its description in RNAcentral is "tRNA-Pro". It matches the Rfam family "tRNA". From Rfam's summary of the family: Transfer RNA (tRNA) molecules are approximately 80 nucleotides in length. Their secondary structure includes four short double-helical elements and three loops (D, anti-codon, and T loops). Lineage: Bacteria; Candidatus Staskawicziibacteriota. The record is from RNAcentral.
CGGGGUGUCGUAUAGUGGUAGUAUACAGACUUCGGGAGUCUGUGGCUUGAGUUCGAUUCUCAGCACCCCGA